AGCGAACGUUUGCGGCGGGCCUAACACAUGCAAGUCGAACGCACUAGCAAUAGUGAGUGGCGCACGGGUGCGUAACACGUGGGUAAUCAACCCUUCAGCCUGGGAUAACGACUCGAAAGGGUCGCUAAUACCGGAUACGGCGCGAGAGGCUUCGGCUUCUCACGAGAAAGCCACGCAAGGGGCACUGAAGGACGAGCCUGCGGCCCAUCAGCUAGUUGGUGAGGUAAGAGCUCACCAAGGCUAAGACGGGUAGCUGGUCUGAGAGGAUGAUCAGCCACACUGGAACUGAGACACGGUCCAGACUCCUACGGGAGGCAGCAGUGGGGAAUAUUGCGCAAUGGGCGAAAGCCUGACGCAGCCACGCCGCGUGAGCGAUGAAGGCCUCGGUCGUAAGACGUCUGUGGGAGGAGACGAAGAAAGACC
This 423-nucleotide ribosomal RNA is filed under the name uncultured bacterium. Its description in RNAcentral is "bacterial SSU rRNA". It matches the Rfam family "Bacterial small subunit ribosomal RNA", at positions 29 to 457 of the family's 1533-position model. The record is from RNAcentral.